CCACAUGAUCCAGUUUGGGAUUGUCUACUGGUGGCAUCAUGAGGGCACUCAAAUGUCAAACUUUGAAGAUUUUGGAUUCUCAGCACAAAGUCAUUCUUCAACUGGAAUGAGCUCUCAGCACAUUCAGCAACUUGUUGGAACCUGAAGAAUAUUUGAGAAAUAAAACCAACUAAUCAUAAAUGUUGCACUUUAUAUUAUUUGAUUUGCAUAGUAUCCUGUCUUCUUUAUCAACACAUCUACAUAGCACAGAAGAAAGAAAGUUGCUGAUCCUAGACAUGAACAUCAUGUAUUGCUCAGAAGGGAGAAUGUCAGCAGCCCAGCACAAGA
Molecule: long non-coding RNA, 327 nt
Organism: Mus caroli (Ryukyu mouse)
Lineage: Eukaryota; Metazoa; Chordata; Mammalia; Rodentia; Muridae
Source: RefSeq, a predicted model, not a curated record